Non-coding RNA from Jatropha curcas, 126 nucleotides. The record is from Rfam. Lineage: Eukaryota; Viridiplantae; Streptophyta; Magnoliopsida; Malpighiales; Euphorbiaceae.
CUGGAAUGAUGUUACUUAGCCAAAUCAGACAUAGAUGUGCUCCAUAAGGCAAUCUCUUCAAGCUUCUGUUGAUUGUUGUUGUAGAGGCACAUUUGUGGCCUCUUGUAACCUUGACCAAGCAUUAGA